Long non-coding RNA from Varroa destructor (honeybee mite), 1473 nucleotides. RefSeq lists it as uncharacterized. The record is from RefSeq and is a predicted model, not a curated record. Lineage: Eukaryota; Metazoa; Arthropoda; Arachnida; Mesostigmata; Varroidae.
UGGCAGGGACUUUCUAUCAAGCAUAUUUUCUGUUACAUCUGUUAAAUACAACGAAGCAACAGAUCCGUUGCUAGUUUGGCUGUGACCAAAUACGCCUUGAAUCUUAACUUUGAGUGCAUUUCUUAUUUUUAACAUCAGUUUAAUAACAAGGGCCAGUAAUAACAUGGGAAGCUAUGACAAAGCGAGACGAUUCGUGUGACGGAGGUAGUGAGCACUGUGACCCCGCCAUUAGAAAUAGCAGACACGUCAAACCAUUAUUUGCGUAUUUUUUUUUUGCCAUGAACUUGUUUUCGCUUCUGCUGUAGCGGAAAGCUUAUUCACUCUGUGCAUGCUACUCCAUCUAAAAAAAUCGCUAAGGUCCUCCUUGCGCAUGGUCCUGGGCUUAUGUGAUAUGAAGGUGAUGCCGAUUGUUACCUACGGAAGUUAAAUUGUUUGCGAACAUCUUUGAUCGAUAGAACUGGAAAAACUCGAUGAAAUCAAACUUUCGCUUUUAAAGCACGCCAUACACCUAUAUUGUUGUUCAGUGCUAAACAGACGCAAGCUUUCUAUCAGCCGCCGCCAAUUCGGACCCUGACUUUCACUAUACGGGAGCUAUAACUAAUGAAGAAUGGAAAAAGUAGAUGUACGUAUUGAUCGACGUGUGGAUGGUCCAGCCUUGCACUGACGUCUCCAAUAGCCAUCUUCAAAAAUCCGUCGUAGGAAAAAAUCCAGAAUCCAUUUUUGUGGGCAAGCCAAGCAGUUUAAGAAAUGGUGACACCGACCCGUACAAUGAGAAGCUAGGUACCAUUCCAGUCUAAAGAUUUACAUAGCUUAAAGACGAGCCAUUCAAGAAGUCUCCCGUCUCAACUUCAAUCCAAACCAGUGCGGUGCACGAUGCGCGCAGUCUCAUCCGUCAAUUAUAUACAUUCAGAAAAACGAAAGAUAAUGCUCAAUACUCACACCACGAUGGGCCAAUACAGCGACUGCAGACAACGGCAUCUGGAUUGAGCUAGAAAACUGUUCAACAUUGCCCCCUUGCAGCCUGGGGCAACGCCUCGUACUACCUCAUAUCGAUAGCUUUAGGUAAAUCCAUGUAAACUUUAUCAUAUCACAAAACAGGCAGAGAAUCAGGGAGAGCUAGUAAAAUUGUCAAACAAAAAAAUUAAUCAUUGACUGCAUGUCAAUCACUGACGAAACCGGUAGCAACGGGAACUCGACCGCCUCCCGUAGCUCUAAACUUUUAGCAACGUUUAGUACAGAAGCAAACCGUAACAAUAUCGUUACACCUAUAAACUGCAGACAAGAUGAAUUACUUCGUGCAGACCACCAAUCGAAAAUCCCUCCAGUACGUUUUGCAAGAAAAGCCACGCUGAUCAUAAAUCGAUGAAACGUGUGAUGUCCUUAGAUUAACUAACUGAAAAGGAGGGCUCGUUCCUGAUGCCUUCAGGAUCGAGCAUGAAGAAUUUAUUCAUUCCUCAGUUAGAUGCCAUAAUA